AAUGCCGUUGUGACAUCUAAAUGACAAACUUCAAAAUUAAGCUUCACAGACAAAGCCAACAACAAUCUUAGAGUUGAGUGUCUGACAAUUGGAGAAAAAGUUUCUUCAAAAUCAAUUCCAUACCUUUGAGUAUAUCCUUUGGCCACCAACCUGGAUCUAUAUAUCACAUUUUUGUCAGCAUCAUGCUUCCUUUUAAAUACCCACUUACACUCUACUACACUACCAUUUUCUGGAGCAUUCACCAAAUCCCAUGCUUUGUUCUCAGUAAAAGAAUCUAGCUCUUUCUGUGUCGCCUCCAACCAACAAAAACGCUCAGGUCUGGAUACCGCUUCCUCGAACGUCACAGGAUCAUCUAAAUCUGGAUUCUCACCUAUCAGGUGUGUCUUCCCCUCUCACUGGUAAAUUGACUUCAUCAGAACCACCAUAAUAAAAAUAUUACAACUUGUAACAAAUGUCAAUAGAGUGCCCAGCCCUAGCACUAUGGUAGUAGCCACUACAAGACGGACCAAUAAGCGCUUCCAGGAACUUACGUGGUGUGAAAAGGAAGACAUGACUGGUUUUAGUUUUAAGGGUUAGUCGGUAAUUUUUCUCCAACACGAAUUCACGAAUCUUUAAUUAAUUUAAGCCAUAGACUAAGGUAAAAACUGUACCAGACGA
Anthonomus grandis grandis is the source of this 657-nucleotide long non-coding RNA. RefSeq lists it as uncharacterized. Lineage: Eukaryota; Metazoa; Arthropoda; Insecta; Coleoptera; Curculionidae. The record is from RefSeq and is a predicted model, not a curated record. The transcript has 3 exons.